This 253-nucleotide ribosomal RNA is filed under the name uncultured bacterium. Its description in RNAcentral is "partial 16S ribosomal RNA". It matches the Rfam family "Bacterial small subunit ribosomal RNA", at positions 524 to 776 of the family's 1533-position model. The record is from RNAcentral.
UACGAAGGGGGCUAGCGUUGCUCGGAAUCACUGGGCGUAAAGGGUGCGUAGGCGGGUUUUUAAGGCAGGGGUGAAAUCCUGGAGCUCAACUCCAGAACUGCCUUUGAUACUGAAGAUCUUGAGUCCGGGAGAGGUGAGUGGAACUGCGAGUGUAGAGGUGAAAUUCGUAGAUAUUCGCAGGAACACCAGUGGCGAAGGCGGCUCACUGGCCCGGUACUGACGCUGAGGCACGAAAGCGUGGGGAGCAAACAGG